CCUCCACCCCGAUAUCUUCCCCCACCACCCCUCGGCGAGGAGUAAGUGCCACCGCUCCGCCUUCUCCUUUUCGCAAUGUUGACGCAAUCUAUAAAUAGUGGAACAAAAGGACCAACUUCCUCGCAGCUUUGCUGAAACUGCACAAAAAAGGCAACCGGGGGGGGACACACACGCGGUUAUUUUUUGAUUUUAUUUUUCUCUGGUUAAAAGGCGAAUCCUCCUCCUCCCUUCCUCCCUCUCUCUCCUUCCCCCCCCCUCCCCUGCCUCCCUACUGGAAGAUCUAUUUUAUUUUCUCUUGCUGCCUCCUAUGCUGGCAACGUCCUGCGAGUGGCUAUUUUGCUUUUUGCACCGAGAGAAGAGCUUCCCCCCUCGCCCUCUCUUCUGACACUUAUGGAUGAAAUCUACACUGAUGUCUAACCUGUAAUGAGUGUCAAUCUGUGUUCCUGCUGUGACUUUUUGGCUUGGCUAGUCACUGAGGAAACACUGAUGAUCCUCUCCCAGAUGCUACAGCUAAAGAAUGCAAUAGCCACCUCCUCUUACAUGGAUUUUUACACUACAGCAAUUGCCUUUCUCACUUUUUCUAAUUCUCAGUUAAAUAUUUACCCAUUCUGAUCCACAAAUUAUUGUAAUUGUGCAUUAUUUAAGAUAUACGGAUAGAAGGUGUAAACUAAGAAUAUUACAUUAGGUUUAAGCUUUAUACAGUCCUAAGUAAUUCUGAGAGUAAUGGUUGUGUAAUGUCACUAUUAACUUUGUAAGUCCGAAACACAAGAGCAUAAUAAGAAAGAGAACUACUCAGUGUGCUUACACAUAAUCACACAGAUUUCAGUCUGUGCAGAACUGGGGCCUAUGUGCAUUAAGAAUGGAACCUGAGAGCAAGUACUACAUAUUAGGGGAUGUAAAAAUUUCACUUUCAUUAAAAAUCUUAAUGAAAUCUUAGGAAUGAUAUCUGAAAGUAGUGUUCUAUUCAUAUUGAAGAAUACCGUGUAUCACAGAAACAGGACAUAAUAUUUUCUACAUCUUAUUUUUAUAUUAGCAUUGGAAAAAUGGGUGUAAAAUAGUAACUAGAAUUAUUUUAGGGCAAAACUAUACAUAAUCUAAGUACAGAGAAGUGGUAUCAGCAACACCAUAAUUUUAUAUUUUUCUUUACUGUUUUCACUGCUAUUUCUACUGCAAAGUUUUCUUUUCACAGGCACCUAACCUUCAGGGAAAAAAAAUUAGAAAAUAUGUACUAUCAUUCCUUUCAGUUGAAAGGCAUACUUUUCAAAAAUUUUGCUCAGAGUAAUUUUAGUAAAAGAGCAAAAAAGUAAAUAUACUGCAAAUAAUUUAUAUUUCCUCCUUCUUAAUAGAAUGGCUUUACGAUCUGAAGUUUUGUCAUGUAGCUCAUUUUCAUUGAGAACCUGGUUUUAAAAAAUUAGGAAUCAAUUUCUUUAGCUGCACCAAACUUCAAUUCAGAGGAAAAUAUAAUAACAUAAAUGCAUAAUAUUACCUAUGUGA
Passer montanus (Eurasian tree sparrow) is the source of this 1494-nucleotide long non-coding RNA. RefSeq lists it as uncharacterized. NCBI's taxonomy places the organism in Eukaryota, Metazoa, Chordata, Aves, Passeriformes, Passeridae. The transcript has 3 exons. The record is from RefSeq and is a predicted model, not a curated record.